RNAcentral lists this ribosomal RNA (748 nucleotides) under uncultured Peptoniphilus sp. RNAcentral's name for it is "bacterial SSU rRNA". It matches the Rfam family "Bacterial small subunit ribosomal RNA", at positions 28 to 776 of the family's 1533-position model. Lineage: Bacteria; Bacillati; Bacillota; Tissierellia; Tissierellales; Peptoniphilaceae. The record is from RNAcentral.
GACGAACGCUGGCGGCGCGCUUAACACAUGCAAGUCGAGCGAUGAAAUUUCGACAGAUCCCUUCGGGGCGAAGAUGAAAUGGAUUAGCGGCGGACGGGUGAGUAACACGUGAGUAACCUGCCUUAGACAUUGGGAUAGCCUCGGGAAACCGGGAUUAAUACCAAAUGAAAUCACAUAUGCACAUGCAUAAAUGAUCAAAGCUCCGGCGGUCUAAGAUGGACUCGCGUCCCAUUAGCUAGUUGGUGAGGUAACGGCCCACCAAGGCGACGAUGGGUAGCCGGCCUGAGAGGGUGAACGGCCACAUUGGAACUGAGAAACGGUCCAAACUCCUACGGGAGGCAGCAGUGGGGAAUAUUGCACAAUGGAGGGAACUCUGAUGCAGCGACGCCGCGUGAACGAAGAAGGCUUUCGAGUCGUAAAGUUCUUUUAUAUGGGAAGAUAAUGACGGUACCAUAAGAAAAAGCCCCGGCUAACUACGUGCCAGCAGCCGCGGUAAUACGUAGGGGGCUAGCGUUGUCCGGAAUCACUGGGCGUAAAGGGUUCGCAGGCGGAAAUGCAAGUCAGGUGUAAAAGGCAGUAGCUUAACUACUGUAAGCAUUUGAAACUGCAUAUCUUGAGAAGAGUAGAGGUAAGUGGAAUUUUUAGUGUAGCGGUGAAAUGCGUAGAUAUUAAAAAGAAUACCGGUGGCGAAGGCGACUUACUGGGCUCAUUCUGACGCUGAGGAACGAAAGCGUGGGUAGCAAACAGG